Long non-coding RNA from Gossypium raimondii (Peruvian cotton), 529 nucleotides. RefSeq lists it as uncharacterized. NCBI's taxonomy places the organism in Eukaryota, Viridiplantae, Streptophyta, Magnoliopsida, Malvales, Malvaceae. The transcript is spliced from 2 exons. The record is from RefSeq and is a predicted model, not a curated record.
UCAUUCUGCUUGAAAUUUUAAAAAAAACUCAGUGGCUCUGUUGGGUUUCUCCCAACCCAUUCUUUGCGCCACUACCAACCAAGGCCCUCCCACGCCCUUGGUCACCUCAGUCUCCGAUCACGACGGAGAAAGGCGCACCGUGGCGGCACCGUCCGUAUUUGCAGGUAAGAGUGGAGCAAACGGCGUACGUGGAGAGGGCCGUCUCCGAGUCUUGCGGCGGCCGGACACUUGCUGGAGGCGAGGGCUUGCUGCAGCUAGGUUUUUCUUUUGAUUUUUUUUAGUUUUGCUGUGUUGGGCUACUAGUUGCUGGGUCUAGGGUUUAGUUUUGGGCUGGUUCGGUUAUUGUUUGGGUAACAUGGGACUGUUUAUUUUGUUUUGUAAGGAUCCGGGUAAAUUGGGCUUAUUACAAUAACCAUUGAAAAACAUUACAAAUUGCGACUUCCAAGUGGCAAAAUUUAGAUUUCCUUGUAGUUUAAUCGGAAGUCGGUGAACCGUAUUAAAUUGGAUUACAGUGGUUGUGGUUGUUUUA